AGUGAACGCUGGCGGCGUGCCUAAUACAUGCAAGUCGAACGAACGAAUAAGAGCUUGCUCUUAUAAGUUAGUGGCGCACGGGUGAGUAAUAUAUAGCUAAUCUGCCUCUUAGUAGAGGAUAACAGUCGGAAACGAUUGCUAAUACUCUAUACUUCUGCUUUACAUAAGUAAAGUAGAGAAAGUUUUUCGCUAAGAGAUGAGGCUAUACUGUAUCAGCUAGUUGGUAAGGUAACGGCUUACCAAGGCUAUGACGCAUAACUGGUCUGAGAGGAUGAUCAGUCACAUUGGAACUGAGACACGGUCCAAACGCCUACGGGAGGCAGCAGUAGGGAAUAUUGCGCAAUGGGGGAAACCCUGACGCAGCAACGCCGCGUGGAGGAUGACACUUUUCGGAGCGUAAACUCCUUUUAUCGGGAAAGAAUAAUGACGGUACCCGAUGAAUAAGCACCGGCUAACUCCGUG
Molecule: ribosomal RNA, 462 nt
Filed under: uncultured bacterium
Lineage: Bacteria
Description: partial 16S ribosomal RNA
Rfam family: Bacterial small subunit ribosomal RNA
Source: RNAcentral